Tephrocybe sp. NHM501043 is the source of this 92-nucleotide non-coding RNA. The record is from the annotation of a GenBank genome assembly. NCBI's taxonomy places the organism in Eukaryota, Fungi, Basidiomycota, Agaricomycetes, Agaricales, Lyophyllaceae.
UCUUUGCUAGUAUAUCGGUUAGUACACGUGCCUGUCAUCUCAUCAAUGAUGGUGGAACGCGCGAAAGCUGGGUUCGACUCCCAGGCAGAGAG